UACGUAGGGUCCGAGCGUUGUCCGGAAUUACUGGGCGUAAAGAGCUCGUAGGUGGUUUGUCGCGUUGUUCGUGAAAACUCACAGCUUAACUGUGGGCGUGCGGGCGAUACGGGCAGACUGGAGUACUGCAGGGGAGACUGGAAUUCCUGGUGUAGCGGUGGAAUGCGCAGAUAUCAGGAGGAACACCGGUGGCGAAGGCGGCUCUCUGGGUCUGUCCUGACGCUCAGGCGCGAAAGCUAGGGGAGCAAACAGG
This 253-nucleotide ribosomal RNA is filed under the name uncultured bacterium. Its description in RNAcentral is "partial 16S ribosomal RNA". It matches the Rfam family "Bacterial small subunit ribosomal RNA", at positions 524 to 776 of the family's 1533-position model. The record is from RNAcentral.